This is a long non-coding RNA of Sceloporus undulatus (fence lizard), 2039 nucleotides long. RefSeq lists it as uncharacterized. The record is from RefSeq and is a predicted model, not a curated record. The transcript has 3 exons. Lineage: Eukaryota; Metazoa; Chordata; Lepidosauria; Squamata; Phrynosomatidae.
CAUUGACCAACCAGAAGAGGUGAAAGGAAGAAAGUAAUAGAAGAGAAAACAUGCCUCAAGACAGCUUCUGCUCCCUUUGCCGUAAGAGAAGCAAUGAAGAACCACUGUGUGCAAGUUGUCCUGAGAGCCUCCGGGAUGUGACUCCUUUCCCCAGGCUACAGUGACUCAUUCAAGAACAGCUGCGAACUAAGCACUUCCUGAAUCACAUGUGGAGCAGAGAUGAAUAUGGAGAGGAGCCUCAGAAAACAACCCAGCAUGCACCAGGGCUGGAUGGACGUCAGAAUCCAAAGGCUUCUGCAGCCCCUACAGAGAGAUUGCCUGGAGAAGGAUGUUCAUUUCCUUCUGCAACUAUGAAGCCACCUCUUUCUUUGUCUGACUCCACACUUCCACCAUGUGCUGAGAAGAUGCAUUCAGUUGUGAAAGUGCAGUGCAGAAAUAUGGAGAGAAGUGGCAGAUAUGGGCAGCUGCUACAACUCUUGAGGCUAGAAAGGUCCCACGGAUGCAGCCAGCAGAACAAAAAUGGACAUUCAAUGGACCAUACCCAGGAGAGAAGCAAGCAAUGCCUCAAAAUGACUACUACAGCAAUAUGAACUCUGUGGCUGGGGAUGUCAAGGGAGGUUGAAGUUCUUCAGGUGUUGAAUGCAGAGUUUCACUGGGGAUGGGAAAAUGAUUGGAAUUGGGGACAAGGGUGAGGAUUUGGGGAGAGUGAGCUCAAGCUAAAAAUCUAUAGCCUGCUUAGUUGAUCCAAGAGGUCAGUUAAUAUGUCUUGGUGGCCCUAUUGCUCAUGAGGUUUGACCAGCUGAAGUUAAAUGCUUUUUCAUUCCUUCAGAAACAACAUCUUGAAAUUAAAGGUGUUUGGCUGAACUACAGAGAUGGGUCCGAUAGUCACAAGAUAGCUGGUGAUCAUUCACGAUGAAAGGGUCACAGCUGUCUUUUCACAUUGGUCACAGUGCCACAAGGAGAUAUUUUCUUUUGGCUUAUGUGAUAUUCCUUUUUUGUUUAUAGGGCUAAACUAAGGAAGCAUAAACAUGUAAACCACUGUAUGCAGUAUGCAUUUACCAGAUAGUGUUUUUGAUGUUCAAAUCGAUUUCACUUCAUGUUCCACCUGUCAAACAGGUUGGAUUGGAGAUGGUUUGGGAUUUUAUUUUCUUCUUUUCUUCCAAACCUACAUGGCUCUACAUUAGGUGUGACUGUAUACGAAUGUCAAUGUGCCACAUCAUACCAUCUCUUCAACAUCUGGUGUGUUUGGUCAUUUUUUCCAACUCAGAGCUGAGGAGACGUGAUGCACCUUGAGCCAUCAAAAGAAGAAUAUUCAGGGAUAGGACAAUUAUGUUAACUUUUUUUAAAAAAUGGAUAUCAUUGAAACUUUGGAAAAACUGCUAGAUUUUCAGCCUCAAUAUCCAUGCUGGCCUUUUUCAUUCCUUGCUAUCUACAAACAUUACUUGGAAUAGCAACAACAUGCAAUCAUAAGUCUUUGAACAGCUGGCCAAUUCAAUUGCUGGAUUGCAACAAUAUCAAUUGCUUCUAACCAGCAGGAGCUUUUUCUGUAGCACUUUUGUUCAUAUAUCAUCAGUUCUCGCUGACAGAUGUGGGAGAACCAUAUUGAAAGGCAUGAGUGUAUGUGUUGUAUCUGUGAAACCAAAAACAUCUCUCCUGAUCCUUUGCAUAGCAGUUCUCCAACAAAGCUGCUUUCUAAUUCUAGUUUUUACGACUGGGUCUCCUCAGUUUAUUGUGGGUUGUACAGAAAGUAGAACUACUGAUUCAUUAUGAAUUUUCUUGCUAUCUAGACUUGGGUGGGGGCUUUCUUUCUUUCUUUCUUUCUUGUAUGCUCAGAUCACUUGUAUUGUAUGAAGCCACUGACUCCUCAUGUUAUCACAUUGGUGGUGACUCAUCCGAGGCUGUGUCAGCCGCUGCUGUAGUUUUAAACAAAAUGUUAUUCUUCACUUGCAAGCAAUUGUAGCAAAAGUCUGUUCAUAGCAAGGGCAUUUUUGCUUUUCUAGAUUUCUACAAUAAAAUAUUGCAAUAGAUGCACAAAAUAA